Oncorhynchus tshawytscha (Chinook salmon) is the source of this 761-nucleotide long non-coding RNA. Lineage: Eukaryota; Metazoa; Chordata; Actinopteri; Salmoniformes; Salmonidae. The record is from Ensembl.
CCUCUUGUUGUGUUUUCAGGGAUGAAGAGAAGAUGGCUACUGGAUGUUCUCUGGACUGGAUCCUGUAUCAGCAGCAGCAGUGGAAGAUCCAUUUUAGAUCUGGCUAUCAUCAAUAUCAUUUAUUAAUAUCAGAAUACAGACCUUUAGACUAAUGUGAGGAGUGUUGUCCAGUGUUCCUCAGCCCCUUCUGGACAGGUACAUAAUGGGACACUUCACGUUUCCUCAGUCCCUUCUAGACAGGUACAUAAUGGGACACUUCACGUUUCCUCAGUCCCUUCUGGACAGGUACAUAAUGGGACACUUCACGUUUCCUCAGUCCCUUCUGGACAGGUACAUAAUGGGACACUUCACGUUUCCUCAGUCCCUUCUGGACAGGUACAUAAUGGGACACUUCACGUUUCCUCAGCCCCUUCUAGACAGGUACAUAAUGGGACACUUCACGUUUCCUCAGUCCCUUCUGGACAGGUACAUAAUGGGACACUUCACGUUUCCUCAGUCCCUUCUGGACAGGUACAUAAUGGGACAGUUCACGUUUCCUCAGCCCCUUCUGGACAGGUACAUAAUGGGACAGUCCACUUUUCAUCACAUCCCCCAUGGAAAGUUACAGUCCACUUUAACCACCAACACCCCUUGCCUCCAUAACGUACAUGGGACAGUCUCACAUUUCUUCUAGAAUAAGACAUGACAGUCAUCCACUCCAGUUCACCCAAUGGGAUUCCAACAGAAUGACUUAUUCUACUGCACAUGUCUAAAGCACUGCC